GACGAACGCUGGCGGCGUGCCUAAUACAUGCAAGUUGAGCGCUGAAGGUUGGUACUUGUACCGACUGGAUGAGCAGCGAACGGGUGGGUAACGCGUGGGGAAUCUGCCUUUGAGCGGGGGACAACAUUUGGAAACGAAUGCUAAUACCGCAUAAAAACUUUAAACACAAGUUUUAAGUUUGAAGGAUGCAAUUGCAUCACUCAAAGAUGAUCCCGCGUUGUAUUAGCUAGUUGGUGAGGUAAAGGCUCACCAAGGCGAUGAUACAUAGCCGACCUGAGAGGGUGAUCGGCCACAUUGGGACUGAGACACGGCCCAAACUCCUACGGGAGGCAGCAGUAGGGAAUCUUCGGCAAUGGACGAAAGUCUGACCGAGCAACGCCGCGUGAGUGAAGAAGGUUUUCGGAUCGUAAAACUCUGUUGGUAGAGAAGAACGUUGGUGAGAGUGGAAAGCUCAUCAAGUGACGGUAACUACCCAGAAAGGGACGGCUAACUACGUG
This 497-nucleotide ribosomal RNA is filed under the name uncultured bacterium. RNAcentral's name for it is "partial 16S ribosomal RNA". It matches the Rfam family "Bacterial small subunit ribosomal RNA", at positions 28 to 507 of the family's 1533-position model. The record is from RNAcentral.